Non-coding RNA from Ochromonadaceae sp. CCMP2298, 72 nucleotides. The record is from the annotation of a GenBank genome assembly. Lineage: Eukaryota; Synurophyceae; Ochromonadales; Ochromonadaceae.
GCACUUAUAGCUCAGCGGUAGAGCAAUUGAUUGCAGCUCAAUAGGUCCCUGGUUCGAGUCCGGGUGAGUGCU